UAUUUGAACCACUUGAAUUAUUGGGGAUUCUUGGCUGAAUAAAGGGCAACAAACAGAGUCUUCUUCUGUGUUUGAAAACGCUAGUGACAUUAAAGGGGGCUGGUGAACUUGAAUCCCACAAGUUUUUUUUUUAUCAGCAAACAAACAAUAACAACAGUAGCAAGAAUAUGGUUCCAAUUUUAUUUCAAGGAUUCCUCCCAAGAACUUUAAUAGGAGGAUUUCUAGGAUUUCUUCAAGAGGUCAUUAGAUGGAAGAAAGGUGGGUUUGAAUUGAGGAUGGUCCAGUAGUUAUGUCCUGAACUCUAUAUGAGUUGGAUUCCGUUGAAUUCAAUUGGAUUUAAAACAAAAUGGUUAUUAUCACGUAGAUUGAAUCAAGAUGAGCGCGUAGAAGGUUCUUGCAUGUUAUGGAAGACUAGAAUAAGGUAAGUUAAGAUUACCUUCUCUUAAGGAUUAUUUUGCAAAUUUCAUAAAUUCCAAAGAGUUACUAAAAUUCUUUCAAUGUUGGAUUGACUUCGUUAGAGCGAGCAAAAUCUACCAACCAUGGUUUAACAUUUUAUAGUGUAUAGUGUUAUUAUGUAGUACUGUUUACGUAUAAGUUGUGGCGCUGGAUAUUUUCAAGCUUUCAUUCUUUGGUAACACUUUAUAUUGCAUUUUACCAACUUGAUUUGAGUUGAUAAUAUUGUAAAAUGUAAAAGUUUAUUUGUGAAUGCACUUCCAAGUUAUUAAAUUAUCUUCAAAGGAAAUAUUGCUCACUGAAGAUAUUAAAAAAAAUGUACAAGACCUAUGGGUCAAAAUGCUUUAAAGUUAUAGUUUGAGGAGAAUUAUAUAUAUUGAAUAUGGAUCACACUUGCCAUGUGUGUAUCACUUGAUGUCCAUAGAGACAGUUCACCAUGCUAGCACUAUCGUCAAAAUCCCACGACUUUGGGUGAGACGGGCUCGUGACCAGGCGAUGGUCACUACAGUUAUCGAAUAUUGUUGCUUAUGGCAACUAUGGAACUCCCCACAAAAAGGUUUAAAGUUUAUUGAAGGUCCAUAAUCAUAGAAAGAGUUACAGUUUUAUAAAAAUGAUUUAAAUCCUUGAAAUGCUUAAAUGUUCAUCAUUUAUCACCACUAUUUUUGCAAAGUGUUUGACUUAUUACAUAUCAUGUGUAUUUUUUUUAUGUAUCCCGAAAGUAUCGCUUCAAUCUUAAGGAGUCAAUGAUACUUACGGGGUACAAUUUCUAUAGAAAUUGUACUCAGCCUCCUUUGUGAGGCAUCUUACCUUAUUGUUUCAGAUCCUACUCACUUUGGAGCUGACAGUGUGUGCUAGGUGUCUUCUCCAUCUUCCAGUUGCUUUUGGUGAGCCCACUACUACUUCUGUGGGUUCAUUGUUAUUAUAGUACUUCUUUUGGAUGAGCCGGGGAUUUAUGUCUCGUACCAUCAUUCUCGUGUACUUCCUUAGAGGUUCCAGGCACAGUUGUGGGAGGUCUAUGGGUUUAUGAGAACUAUCAUUUUAUCUUCAUGUUAUGCUGUUAUUUUUAUUUCUGCUACUUAUGUAUUUUGGCCAUUGGCUCAACUUAUGUUUCGAGACUAGAAGGAUGUUUUAUCAUCGAUACUUAUUAUUUU
Nicotiana tabacum (common tobacco) is the source of this 1604-nucleotide long non-coding RNA. RefSeq lists it as uncharacterized. The record is from RefSeq and is a predicted model, not a curated record. Lineage: Eukaryota; Viridiplantae; Streptophyta; Magnoliopsida; Solanales; Solanaceae.